UACAGAGGGGGCAAGCGUUGUUCGGAAUUACUGGGCGUAAAGGGCGCGUAGGCGGCCUGUUAAGUCGAACGUGAAAUCCCCGGGCUCAACCCGGGAACUGCGUCCGAUACUGGCAGGCUUGAAUCCGGGAGAGGGAUGCGGAAUUCCAGGUGUAGCGGUGAAAUGCGUAGAUAUCAAGAGGAACACCUGAGGUGAAGACGGGUUGCUGGGCUGACACUGACGCUGAUGCGCGAAAGCCAGGGGAGCAAACGGG
This 253-nucleotide ribosomal RNA is filed under the name uncultured bacterium. RNAcentral's name for it is "partial 16S ribosomal RNA". It matches the Rfam family "Bacterial small subunit ribosomal RNA", at positions 524 to 776 of the family's 1533-position model. The record is from RNAcentral.